This 457-nucleotide ribosomal RNA is filed under the name Bacillus sp. DIT 04. RNAcentral describes it as "bacterial SSU rRNA". It matches the Rfam family "Bacterial small subunit ribosomal RNA", at positions 617 to 1072 of the family's 1533-position model. Lineage: Bacteria; Bacillati; Bacillota; Bacilli; Caryophanales; Bacillaceae. The record is from RNAcentral.
GGGAGGGUCAUUGGAAACUGGGAACUUGAGUGCAGAAGAGGAGAGUGGAAUUCCACGUGUAGCGGUGAAAUGCGUAGAGAUGUGGAGGAACACCAGUGGCGAAGGCGACUCUCUGGUCUGUAACUGACGCUGAGGAGCGAAAGCGUGGGGAGCGAACAGGAUUAGAUACCCUGGUAGUCCACGCCGUAAACGAUGAGUGCUAAGUGUUAGGGGGUUUCCGCCCCUUAGUGCUGCAGCUAACGCAUUAAGCACUCCGCCUGGGGAGUACGGUCGCAAGACUGAAACUCAAAGGAAUUGACGGGGGCCCGCACAAGCGGUGGAGCAUGUGGUUUAAUUCGAAGCAACGCGAAGAACCUUACCAGGUCUUGACAUCCUCUGACAAUCCUAGAGAUAGGACGUCCCCUUCGGGGGCAGAGUGACAGGUGGGUCAUCUGCCUCGUCAACUGGUGUCGUGAGA